GAUGAACGCUGGCGGCAUGCCUAAUACAUGCAAGUCGAGCGAACAGACGAGGAGCUUGCUCCUCUGACGUUAGCGGCGGACGGGUGAGUAACACGUGGAUAACCUAACUAUAAGACUGGGAUAACUUCGGGAAACCGUGGCUACUACCGGAUAAUAUAUUGAACCGCAUGGUUCAAUAGUUAAAGACGGUUUUUGUGUCACUUAUAGAUUGAUCCGCGCAGCAUUCGCUAGUUGGUAAGGUAACGGCUUACCCAGGCGACGAUGGUUAGCCGACCCGAGAGGGACGACGGCCACACUGGCACUGAGACACGUUACAGACUCCUACGGUAGGCAACAGUAGGGAAUCUUCCGCGAGGGGCGAAAGCCUGAUGGAGCAACGCCGCGUGAGUGAUGAAGGACUUCGGAUGGUAGAACUCUGUAAUUAGGAAAGAACAAAAGUGUAAGUAACUAUGCUCGUCUUGACAGUACCUAAACAGAAAGCCACGGCUAACUACGUG
RNAcentral lists this ribosomal RNA (497 nucleotides) under uncultured bacterium. RNAcentral describes it as "partial 16S ribosomal RNA". It matches the Rfam family "Bacterial small subunit ribosomal RNA", at positions 28 to 507 of the family's 1533-position model. The record is from RNAcentral.